This 440-nucleotide ribosomal RNA is filed under the name uncultured bacterium. RNAcentral's name for it is "bacterial SSU rRNA". It matches the Rfam family "Bacterial small subunit ribosomal RNA", at positions 338 to 795 of the family's 1533-position model. The record is from RNAcentral.
CCUACGGGAGGCUGCAGUAAGGAAUCUUCGGCAAUGCGCGCAAGCGUGACCGAGCGACGCCGCGUGGAGGAUGAAGUCCUUCGGGAUGUAAACUCCUGUCAGGGGUUACCAAGUUCUGAGGAGCCCCAGAGGAAGUGGCGGCUAACUCUGUGCCAGCAGCCGCGGUAAGACAGAGGCCACAAGCGUUAGGCGGAAUCACUGGGCUUAAAGCGUGUGUAGGCGGAUCGUUAAGUGCUUUGUGAAAUCCCUCGGCUCAACCGGGGAACUGCUUGGCAUACUGGCGAUCUUGAGCCAUCUAGGGGCGACUGGAACAGACGGUGGAGCGGUGAAAUGCGUAGAUAUCGUCUGGAACGCCAAAGGUGAAAACAGGUCGCUGGGGAUGAGCUGACGCUGAGACACGAAAGCCAGGGGAGCAAACGGGAUUAGAUACCCCUGUAGUC